This 481-nucleotide long non-coding RNA is filed under the name Vitis vinifera (wine grape). Its description in RNAcentral is "long non-coding RNA (VVIN_LNC003519)". The record is from RNAcentral. Lineage: Eukaryota; Viridiplantae; Streptophyta; Magnoliopsida; Vitales; Vitaceae.
AAGAUUUUAAGAAGUCAAACAGUUUCUCUUUGUGUAGACAAUUUUAUUGUUCAAGUAAGAGCUGCAUGCCUCAAGUAAUAAAGAGAAAGGCAUGCAUGUGCUUGGUGCUGGCUAUGUUGCUACUCUUCACAAUAAGUACCUCCCUCAGUGGGGCCCACCGGCCUUCCGCUGUUGGUCUCUGUUGAACCUGCACCAAUGGAGAUCGAAGGUUUCCCCCUGGCCCACUGUCUCUGAUUAUUAGUCAAGAAAAAGGGUGAAUAAUAGGCAAUCAAUGAAAAGGAGAGAGAUUGAGAGAGAGGGGGGAGAGAGAGAGAUAGAGAGAGAGAGGGAGAGAGAGGGAGAGAGGGAGGGAGGGAGGGAGGGAGAGAGAGAGAGAGAGAGAGAGAGAGAGAGUAUGUGUAUUUAUUGGUCAACUCUAGUUUACGGAGAGUUGAACCCUGAUUAUUAAUCAUGUAAUGAGCUUUGGUGAGCAUAGGAAUUG